GACGAACGCUGGCGGCGUGCUUAACACAUGCAAGUCGAACGGAAAGGCCCUGCUUGCAGGGUGCUCGAGUGGCGAACGGGUGAGUAACACGUGGGUGAUCUGCCCCUUACUUUGGGAUAAGCCUGGGAAACUGGGUCUAAUACUGGAUAGGACCAUGCUGUAGGUGGUGUGGUGGAAAGAUUAGUUUCGGUAAGGGAUGAGCUCGCGGCCUAUCAGCUUGUUGGUGGGGUAAUGGCCUACCAAGGCGUCGACGGGUAGCCGGCCUGAGAGGGUGGACGGCCACAUUGGGACUGAGAUACGGCCCAGACUCCUACGGGAGGCAGCAGUGGGGAAUAGUGCACAAUGGGCGCAAGCCUGAUGCAGCGACGUCGCGUGGGGGAUGACGGCCUUCGGGUUGUAAACUCCUUUCAGCCAUGACGAAGCCCUUGUGGUGACGGUAGUGGUAGAAGAAGCACCGGCUAACUACGUG
This 469-nucleotide ribosomal RNA is filed under the name uncultured bacterium. RNAcentral's name for it is "partial 16S ribosomal RNA". It matches the Rfam family "Bacterial small subunit ribosomal RNA", at positions 28 to 507 of the family's 1533-position model. The record is from RNAcentral.